GGGCCAUAGCUCAGCUGGUUCGAGCGCACGCCUGAUAAGCGUGAGGUCGAUGGUUCGAGUCCAUUUAGGCCCA
RNAcentral lists this transfer RNA (73 nucleotides) under Listeria monocytogenes. RNAcentral's name for it is "tRNA-Ile". It matches the Rfam family "tRNA". Rfam says of the family: Transfer RNA (tRNA) molecules are approximately 80 nucleotides in length. Their secondary structure includes four short double-helical elements and three loops (D, anti-codon, and T loops). Lineage: Bacteria; Bacillati; Bacillota; Bacilli; Caryophanales; Listeriaceae. The record is from RNAcentral.